RNAcentral lists this ribosomal RNA (505 nucleotides) under uncultured bacterium. RNAcentral's name for it is "partial 16S ribosomal RNA". It matches the Rfam family "Bacterial small subunit ribosomal RNA", at positions 28 to 507 of the family's 1533-position model. The record is from RNAcentral.
GACGAACGCUGGCGGCGUGCCUAAUACAUGCAAGUAGAACGCACAGUUUAUACCGUAGCUUGCUACACCAUAAACUGUGAGUUGCGAACGGGUGAGUAACGCGUAGGUAACCUGCCUGGUAGCGGGGGAUAACUAUUGGAAACGAUAGCUAAUACCGCAUAAUAUUGAUUAUUGCAUGAUAAUUGAUUGAAAGAUGCUAUUGCAUCACUACCAGAUGGACCUGCGUUGUAUUAGCUAGUAGGUGAGGUAACGGCUCACCUAGGCGACGAUACAUAGCCGACCUGAGAGGGUGGUCAGCCACACUGGGACUGAGACACGGCCCAGACUCCUACGGGAGGCAGCAGUAGGGAAUCUUCGGCAAGGGACGAAAGUCUGACCGAGCAACGCCGCGUGAGUGAAGAAGGUUUUCGGAUCGUAAAGCUCUGUUGUAAGAGAAGAACGGGUGUGAGAGUGGAAAGUUCACACUGUGACGGUAUCUUACCAGAAAGGGACGGCUAACUACGUG